This 253-nucleotide ribosomal RNA is filed under the name uncultured bacterium. RNAcentral describes it as "partial 16S ribosomal RNA". It matches the Rfam family "Bacterial small subunit ribosomal RNA", at positions 524 to 776 of the family's 1533-position model. The record is from RNAcentral.
GACGGAGGAUGCAAGCGUUAUCCGGAAUGAUUGGGCGUAAAGCGUCCGCAGGUGGCAGUUCAAGUCUGCUGUCAAAGACCGGGGCUUAACUUCGGAAAGGCAGUGGAAACUGAACAGCUAGAGUAUGGUAGGGGCAGAGGGAAUUCCUGGUGUAGCGGUGAAAUGCGUAGAUAUCAGGAAGAACAUCGGUGGCGAAGGCGGUUUCCUGGCCGAGUACUGACGCUGAGGCACGAAAGCGUGGGGAGCGAACGGG